UACGGAGGAUGCGAGCGUUAUCCGGAUUUAUUGGGUUUAAAGGGUGCGUAGGCGGUGACUUAAGUCAGCGGUGAAAGUUUGCAGCUCAACUGUAAAAUUGCCGUUGAAACUGGGCCACUUGAGUGUAAAUGAAGUAGGCGGAAUUCGUGGUGUAGCGGUGAAAUGCAUAGAUAUCACGAAGAACUCCGAUUGCGAAGGCAGCUUACUAAGCUACAACUGACGCUGAAGCACGAAAGCGUGGGUAUCAAACAGG
RNAcentral lists this ribosomal RNA (253 nucleotides) under uncultured bacterium. RNAcentral's name for it is "partial 16S ribosomal RNA". It matches the Rfam family "Bacterial small subunit ribosomal RNA", at positions 524 to 776 of the family's 1533-position model. The record is from RNAcentral.